UAUCUGGUGUACUUUAUCCUCUGUGAAUGGUACACAGUAGGCAAUUCUGAAUACCUACAUGCAUACAUGUACACGUACAAGUACAAAUUUGCAUUAUAAGGUUAUGUAAUUUAUAUACUUGUAAUGCACAUGUACCUUUGAAAGAGCAAGCCAAACUCAAAACACAAACAACGCAAUCUGAGACAAAGCCUUGUAACUUGUGAUAGCUGACGAUAUUGCCAAGGACUUUCCCGGAAGUGCUGGCGUCUGAGCUGCUUGUCUCCACAAGAGUUGACCUGUCGUGUGUUGGCAAAGUUCGUGUACCAUAGCUGGAUAUUAUGCAAUCUUAAUAAUUAAACGUGGAAUAGGGGAUUAUCGAUCUCUUCCAUUCCGAAAUGCUUUCGUGUCUCAAUUUUCCCUGUUUCAAAUGGCUGAUUUUUGAUGCAUUGAAUGUGGCAACUGCUUUGUUCUGCCAAUCGUUGGAUCCUCACGCUUGUUUACCUGUGAGCCUUGGAUUGUCAGCCAAAGCUGCAAUAACGGCUGCAAUAACGGGAGCAAAGACAAGAACAUUUUGUUUGAGAGUAGAGUCAUACAUGACAAUGCCGUCUGACACAAUUGCUCCAGACAUCUCCAUACAAUCAACUUUGUUUGAACAAGCGAUGAAAUGGAUGUUAUGCAGCUGACUGUUUUGAUGACAAGGUAGACCAGCAAGAUCAACUCCUCCCACACAGACACAUACACACACACACACACACACUCGUUCCAACUCUUCCCACACACGCACACGCUCGCACACAUACACCACACAGACACAUACACACACACACACUCGUUCCAACUCCUCCCACACACACACACAUACUUAGUUACAUUCGUUCCAACUCUCCAACUCUUCCCACACACACACACCUACACACACUUAGUUACAUUCGUUUCAACUCCUCCCACUCAACUCCUCCCACACAGACACAUACACACACACACCAACUCUUCCCACACACACACACACACACACGCACACACAAUCAUACUUAGUUACUCAACUCCUCCCACACAGACACAUACACACACACACGCACACACUCGUUGGCACACACUCGUUCCAACUCCUCCCAUACACACACACACAUACUUCGUUACAUUCUUUACAUUCAUUCUUCCCACACACACACACUUAGUUACAUUCGUUUCAACUCCUCCCCCCCCCCCACACCACACACACACCUGGUCAAAGCUGUAGUGGGCCUAAGUUGAGAAGAGAGGGGGUGGCUGCAACUCCAGUGAAGUGCUCUAGUUAUUAUUGUUUUGAUGAUUGCACAUGCAUGCAUGCCGAUGUGGGAUCCAUGCUCUUAUCCCUCAAAGAAGGACAGUCUCAACUAAAGGGCAUGUGCACCAAGAUUGGUGCAAAACAGCCUUAUAACAGCUCAGCAAAGAGAGCAAUUUUCACGCAAUUUUCACUCAAAACAGCUAAUUUAGAGGAAGCCAAGUCUUUUCUCUUCGUGAUCUAGUUCUGGUACCUCGGGUGAUGCAAUCGAAGAGGAUGAUUGAGGUGAAGGUUCUGUGAGCAUGGAGCAAAAUCCUGGAUAUCCUGUUGGAUAUGAGGAAUUGGCACCAAUACUACCCCCAGGCAGUGUCUAUACAUGGACAACAGUAUUUGUCUCCAACACAUAUGUACACGAGUCACCCUACACACAAAUUUUGCCUCAAGUAUGCAGUACGCUCUCCUGAAAGAAAAGGAAAAGCUGUCACCAGAAUAUGGCAUGACACUCAUAAUAAAUUUAAGAGUGUUGGUGAAGAUGGAAUACGAAGUUUGUUUAGCGAUAAGUUGAACGAACUUCGUAUUCCAUCU
Molecule: long non-coding RNA, 1828 nt
Organism: Halichondria panicea
Lineage: Eukaryota; Metazoa; Porifera; Demospongiae; Suberitida; Halichondriidae
Exons: 7
Source: RefSeq, a predicted model, not a curated record